RNAcentral lists this transfer RNA (73 nucleotides) under Jatropha curcas. It matches the Rfam family "tRNA". Rfam says of the family: Transfer RNA (tRNA) molecules are approximately 80 nucleotides in length. Their secondary structure includes four short double-helical elements and three loops (D, anti-codon, and T loops). Lineage: Eukaryota; Viridiplantae; Streptophyta; Magnoliopsida; Malpighiales; Euphorbiaceae. The record is from Rfam by way of RNAcentral.
GGAGAUGUAGCUCAGAUGGUAGAGCGCUCGCUUAGCAAGCGAAAGCUACGAGGAUCGAUACCCUGCAUUUCUA